Long non-coding RNA from Physella acuta, 842 nucleotides. RefSeq lists it as uncharacterized. The record is from RefSeq and is a predicted model, not a curated record. Lineage: Eukaryota; Metazoa; Mollusca; Gastropoda; Physidae.
ACACACUACACAGCAAGAAAUACACUAUCACCCUGUGAUCGAACCCAAAACAGACUUAUCAGAUAGAACAAUUUUGGUAAUAACUUAAGUAAUCCCCGGGUGAAGUUGGCCUGCACAUGUUACAAGUGUCCUAAUGCGUAACAAGGAUAAAAGAGUACACAACAAACUAUUUGAAACUAGGCUCAUGUGUGUGAUGUUCUACUGCUGUCCAGUGAUUAUGAAAACUACAGCCUUAAAUUUUGUUUACAAGGAAUAGAUGCACGGACAUCAAGCAGCCUACAGUGUGUGUUGAAAACCCUGCAAGUUGCCCUGGUUCAAGAAUUGACCUUUGCCAAGAGAAAGCCAAGCAGUAUGAAACCAGACAAUAACUUGGAAAAAGAGCAUUUAUUUUGGUCAGUGCACAAGUAUUAACAGGAAGAGAUAAAGAGAGCUGAAGAGAUGGAUAAAUCAAUUAUUAUAGUUAUAGUGGUAGCAAUAAUUUAAAAAAAAACAUUGAAACAUUUUGCCGGACAACUAAUCUGAAAAAAAGAAAAAGCUAGAUGGCAGGAAAAAGUAGCAGUUGCCAAAAUGAAAUGUGAAUAUGCUUAACAAAAUAGAACUGUUAGGUGUGGUUCAGCCCAAUUUUUGAAACAACUUAUUUUAAGAAAAUAAAAAUGUUUUUUGCCUUUACGUAUUUGACGCAUUAUCUUUGUACGACAAUUUUUUUACUUUAUUAUUUAAAAUGUACUUGCAAGUUUAAUACUUCAUUGCAUGUUUAUAUGUUAAAUAAACCUGCAUAAAUUAAAACCAAAUUUUGUUAGUAUUUGUUAGGUUAUGAAUGAAAUUUUUCAUUUUUCUUUAGU